GUCACAUAGGAGUGAGGAAUUGGUGGGAGGAAGCUGGGACAUGAUGUAAUAUGCCUUUUGUUUCCAGAGAGACAGAGGUGGUAGUUUGGCUGGGCAGGGAGCCUUGCUUUACCCCAUUGCUUGUGUUAACUCACACCUUCUUGUUUCCUCUCCUGUCCUUUUCCCCCAGCCUUUGGCUAUGGGCUGCUUUGUCUAGGAAUGGCCUAUAUUUCCUCCCAGAUGGGACCUGUACUGCAGGCAGCAAUCAGCAUCUUUGGCAUGGUUGGGGGACCGCUGCUGGGACUCUUCUGCCUUGGAAUGUUCUUUCCAUGUGCCAACCCUCCUGUGAGUGAUGCAUCUGGAUCCAUAGUCACGUGCAGCAGGAUGGACCUGGGGGUUGGCAGGGCUGUCACCAGGAGAGCUGAGGACUGCCGUGAGGGCUGGCAGGACUGGCCUUGUGACAGGCAUGCACUGUGUCUCGGCAGGGUGCUGUUGUGGGCCUGUUGGCUGGACUCGUCAUGGCCUUCUGGAUCGGCAUCGGGAGCAUCGUGACCAGCAUGGGCUCCAGCAUGCCACCCUCUCCCUCUAAUGGGUCCAGCUUCUCCCUGCCCACCAAUCUAACCGUUGCCACUGUGACCACACUGAUGCCCUUGACUACCUUCUCCAAGUAAGGCGGGGCUUGCUGUCUUCUUGUUUUCUCAAAGCCCUCCUUUGAGGGCUUUCACAGGGGUCUUGCUGAGGGAUGGGCCACCAGAGGCCCCAGGGAAAUGUUGGGUAUUGGGUCCCAAGACCCUGGGACCAUGCGGGCAAGUAGAGAUUGGUGCCCAAGGAAUGCCCUGCCAACGAAUUGCUAAUUGUCCUCACCUCUGCUCUUCCCAGGCCCACAGGGCUGCGGCGGUUCUAUUCCUUGUCUUACUUAUGGUACAGUGCUCACAACUCCACCACAGUCAUUGUGGUGGGCUUGAUUGUCAGUCUACUCACUGGUAAGGGUGUGGGAUCGUGGUGCAGAUGAGCACCGAGGGGUUAACAGAGGGCCCUAAGGGACUCUACUGUCUAGGGAGAAAGACUCCUGCCCUCUGAGCUCUUGGGUGUCCAUAGCUGUCAGGCUUUUCUGUUGGGAUGUAGGAGGUGGGUCGGGGCUGGGGUCUCUGGGGGCCAAGGGAGGACAUGGGGCCCGCUGCUGUAGAUGGUUCCACCCAGAGACUCAGAAGCACAUUUCCAUUCAGGGAGAAUGCAAGGCCGGUCCCUGAACCCUGCGACCAUUUACCCAGUGUUGCCGAAGCUCCUGGCCCUCCUGCCCUUGUCCUGUCAGAAGCGGCUCCACUGCAGGAGCUAUGGCCAGGACCACCUCAUGGACACUGGCCUGUUUCCUGAGAAGCCGAGGAAUGGUGUGCUGGGGGACAGCAGAGACAAGGAGGCCAUGGCCCUGAAUGGCACAGCCUAUCAGGGGAGCAGCUCCACCUGCAUCCUCCAGGAGACCUCCCUGUGAUGUUGACUCAGAACCCCACCUCUGUCCUCACUGUGCCAGGCCAUAGCCAGACGCCACCCUGUAGUACAGGGAUGAGUCUUGGUGUGUUCUGCAGGGACAGGCCUGGAUGAUCUAGCUCAUACCAAAGGAACUUGUUCUGAGAGGUUCUUGCCUGCAGGAGAAGCUGUCACAUCUCAAGCAUGUGAGGCACCGUUUUUCUCGUUGCUUGCCAAUCUGUUUUUUAAAGGAUCAGGCUCGUAGGGAGCAGGAUCAUGCCAGAAAUAGGGAUAGAAGUACAUCCUCUGGGAAAAAGAUAAUGGCUUCUGAUUCAACAUAGCCAGAGUCCUUUGAAGUAAGAGGCUAGAAACAGCACUCUGGUUAUAACUGCCCCAGGGCCUGAUUCAGGACUGACUCUCCACCAUAAAACUGGAAGCUGCUUCCCCUGUAGUCCCCAUUUCAGUACCAGUUCUGCCAGCCACAGUGAGCCCCUAUUACUUUCAGAUUGUCUGUGACACUCAAGCCCCUCUCAUUUUUAUUUGUCUACCUCCAUUCUGAAGAGGGAGGUUUUGGUAUCCCUGGGCCUCUGGGAAUAGAAAGUCUGUUUGUCUCCUUUGUGUAGAGCAAGCACGUUUUCCACCUCACUGUCUCCAUCCUCCACCUCUGAGAUGGACACUUAGAGAGGGGGCAAAUGUGGAUCCAAGAAACCAGGGCCAUGACCGGGUCCACUGUGGAGCAGCCAUCUAUCUACCCGACUCCUGAGCCAGGCUGCCAUGGUGUCAUGUCUGUCAUCCGUGCUCUGUUUCCUUUUGGAGUUACUUCUCCACAUAUCUUUGUUCCUGGGGAAUAAAAACUACCAUUGGACCUAGAA
RNAcentral lists this small RNA (2315 nucleotides) under Pongo abelii (Sumatran orangutan). RNAcentral describes it as "retained intron". Lineage: Eukaryota; Metazoa; Chordata; Mammalia; Primates; Hominidae. The record is from RNAcentral.